AGAUAGAAGUUACUUCGGUACAUCGGUGACAGGUGGUGCAUGGUUGUCGUCAGCUCGUGUCGUGAGAUGUUGGGUUAAGUCCCGCAACGAGCGCAACCCCUAUUGUAGUUGCCAUCAUUCAGUUGGGCACUCUAGCGAGACUGCCGGUAAUAAACCGGAGGAAGGUGGGAUGACGUCAAAUCAUCAUGCCCCUUAUGACCUGGGCUACACACGUGCUACAAUGGUUGGUACAACGAGUUGCGAGUCGGUGACGGCGAGCUAAUCUCUUAAAGCCAAUCUCAGUUCGGAUUGUAGGCUGCAACUCGCCUACAUGAAGUCGGAAUCGCUAGUAAUCGCGGAUCAGCACGCCGCGGUGAAUACGUUCCCGGGCCUU
This 373-nucleotide ribosomal RNA is filed under the name uncultured Streptococcus sp. RNAcentral describes it as "bacterial SSU rRNA". It matches the Rfam family "Bacterial small subunit ribosomal RNA", at positions 1006 to 1382 of the family's 1533-position model. The record is from RNAcentral. Lineage: Bacteria; Bacillati; Bacillota; Bacilli; Lactobacillales; Streptococcaceae.